This 172-nucleotide long non-coding RNA is filed under the name Neodiprion pinetum (white pine sawfly). RNAcentral describes it as "uncharacterized LOC124215050". The record is from RNAcentral. Lineage: Eukaryota; Metazoa; Arthropoda; Insecta; Hymenoptera; Diprionidae.
AUCCAUGACGCCAGUAACUUAUCGCCUAAUUAUGGAUCUUUCAUGCAACUUUAUUAUGACAAAUAUGUUGAUUACAUGAAUGAGAAUAUACUCGAAAUCUACCUUCAAGUUUGUACUACACUUAUUAUACAGAUACAUGUAGAGUAACAUCUUUACCCAUGCACGUUUGAAU